GAUGAAGAACGCAGUGAAAUGCGAUAAGUAGUGUGAAUUGCAGAAUUCAGUGAAUCAUCGAAUCUUUGAACGCACAUUGCGCCCCUUGGUAUUCCAUGGGGCAUGCCUGUUCGAGCGUCAUUUGUACCUUCAAGCCUUGCUUGGUGUUGGGUGUUUGUCUCGCCUCUGCGCGCAGACUCGCCUCAAAACAAUUGGCAGCCGGCGUAUUGAUUUCGGAGCGCAGUACAUCUCGCGCUUUGCACUCAGAACGACGACGUCCAAAAGUACAUUUUUACACUCUUGACCUCGGAUCAGGUAGGGAUACCCGCUGAACUUAAGCAUAUCAAUAAGCGGAGGA
This 337-nucleotide unclassified non-coding RNA is filed under the name soil metagenome. Its description in RNAcentral is "partial contains 5.8S ribosomal RNA, internal transcribed spacer 2, and large subunit ribosomal RNA". The stretch from base 1 to 120 matches the Rfam family "5.8S ribosomal RNA", at positions 35 to 154 of the family's 154-position model. The record is from RNAcentral.